This 289-nucleotide small RNA is filed under the name uncultured Bilophila sp. Its description in RNAcentral is "5' ureB small RNA". It matches the Rfam family "5' ureB small RNA". The record is from RNAcentral. Lineage: Bacteria; Pseudomonadati; Thermodesulfobacteriota; Desulfovibrionia; Desulfovibrionales; Desulfovibrionaceae.
CCUGUUGGGGCGAGAUGUAGUGCACAUGGGAGUCGAUGCCGCCGGCGGUGAGGAUCAGGUGCUCGCCGGUGAUGGCGUCGGUGGAGUUGCCCACGAUGAGGUUGGGGUCCACGCCGUUCAUCAUGGAGGGGUUGCCGCUCUUGCCGAUGCCCACGAUCCUGCCGUCGCGGAUGCCCACGUCGGCCUUGAUCACGCCCUGUUUGGCGUCGAUGAUGGUGACGUUGGUGAUCACGAGGUCGAGCACGCCCGCGGCGCGGUCGAGCCGGGCGUCGCCGCCCAUGCCGCCGCG